GUCCACGCCGUAACGAUGAAUGCUAGCCGUUGGGUAGCUUGCUAUUCAGUGGCGCAGCUAACGCAUUAAGCAUUCCGCCUGGGGAGUACGGCCGCAAGGUUGAACUCAAGGAAUUGACGGGGGCCCGCACAAGCGGUGGAGCAUGUGGUUUAAUUCGACGCAACGCGCAGAACCUUACCAGGGUUUGACAUCCUGCGACCGCUCCCUAAUAGGAGUUUUCCCGCAAGGGACGCAGAGACAGGUGCUGCAUGGCUGUCGU
RNAcentral lists this ribosomal RNA (259 nucleotides) under uncultured bacterium. Its description in RNAcentral is "partial 16S ribosomal RNA". It matches the Rfam family "Bacterial small subunit ribosomal RNA", at positions 793 to 1055 of the family's 1533-position model. The record is from RNAcentral.